GACGAACGCUGGCGGCGUGCUUAACACAUGCAAGUCGAACGCUGAAGCACCAGAUUGCUGGUGUGGAUGAGUGGCGAACGGGUGAGUAAUACGUGAGUAACCUGCCCUUGACUCUGGGAUAAGCACGGGUAACUGGGUCUAAUACUGGAUGCUACAUGUCACCGCAUGGUGGUGUGUGGAAAGGGGUUACUGGUCUUUGAUGGGCUCACGGCCUAUCUGCUUGUUGGUGAGGUUAUGGCUCACCAAGGCGACGACGGGUAGCCGGCCUGAGGAGGUGACCGGCCACCCUGGGACUGAGACACGGCCGAGACGCCUACGGGAGGCAGCAGUGGGGAAUAUUGCAGAAUGGGCGAAAGCCUGAUGCAGCGACGCCGCGUGAGGGAUGACGGCCUUCGGGUUGUAAACCUCUUUAAGCAGGGAAGAAGCGACAAGUGACGGUACCUGCAGAAGAAGCGCCGGCUAACUACGUG
RNAcentral lists this ribosomal RNA (470 nucleotides) under uncultured bacterium. RNAcentral describes it as "partial 16S ribosomal RNA". It matches the Rfam family "Bacterial small subunit ribosomal RNA", at positions 28 to 507 of the family's 1533-position model. The record is from RNAcentral.